RNAcentral lists this transfer RNA (74 nucleotides) under Chloroflexota bacterium. Its description in RNAcentral is "Chloroflexi bacterium (anaerobic digester metagenome) tRNA-Glu". It matches the Rfam family "tRNA". From Rfam's summary of the family: Transfer RNA (tRNA) molecules are approximately 80 nucleotides in length. Their secondary structure includes four short double-helical elements and three loops (D, anti-codon, and T loops). Further hydrogen bonds mediate the characteristic L-shaped molecular structure. tRNAs have two regions of fundamental functional importance: the anti-codon, which is responsible for specific mRNA codon recognition, and the 3' end, to which the tRNAs corresponding amino acid is attached (by aminoacyl-tRNA synthetases). tRNAs cope with the degeneracy of the genetic code in two manners: having more than one tRNA (with a specific anti-codon) for a particular amino acid; and 'wobble' base-pairing, i.e. permitting non-standard base-pairing at the 3rd anti-codon position. Lineage: Bacteria; Bacillati; Chloroflexota. The record is from RNAcentral.
GCCGCAUUCGUCUAGAGGCCUAGGACACUUCCCUCUCAAGGAAGAGAUCGGGGGUUCGAAUCCCCCAUGCGGUA